CAAUAAUAAACGCAAAUGGCCGGCUUAAGUGAAUUGUAAUGCGUACGUCAGCCGAUUUUAACGGUAAAUUGUGGCGAGCACGCGUGUGGAUGUGAUUGACGCACGACAUACCGAUUAUUAAAAGACACAGGAAUUCAACACAACGUCGCAUUGAUUUGUUUUCUUCCUUGGUUCAGCCAUUCUCGGACUGUUUUUUUUUUUAUCGACACUUGUGCAUUCCACUUUGUUUGCUGAUCGAAUAUUAAAUCAUAUUUACGUUCCUAUUUCGGGAUCGGAUUACUCAUGUGCACUGUGAUGCACACGCCAGCAAGUCCGUUGACUUCGGGCGAAUGGGAGAGAGAGAGAGAGAGAGAGUGCUGAAUAUCAAUAAAAAUGUAUGCUGAUAAAAACGACAUAAUUCCAUCGGAAAAAUAUUUACUUUUUUCGGUGCAUUUGUGCUGAUAAAACCACUUCUAAUAGUGAACACACUCAUACGGGGAAAAGCAGCACACCAAGCGCGUCGAAUUACUUCAUCACUCGCCACACAAAACAUUGUUGUCAUCUAUAUUUGCGUCUAGGCGAACGGUUUGGUAUCGUUUUAUAGCUCGAUCUAAUAAACAAUUUUAUCGAUUCGACGAAUCCCCAAUCGUAAAUCGACGAAAAACUUCUACGUGUUUAUAUGCAAGCAAAAUGUCGUAAACACAAUUGCGCCCACAAAAAACCAGCACACAAUCACUUUUCAAACGAACAACUGACUCAUGCCAAAUACGAAACGGAGAGAGAGAGAGAGUUGGAUAUAAAAUUGGAUAUAAAAUUGAGCAUUUUCGAUUUUCGAUCUACGCGUAUUUUCCACAUUUUUAUUGUUCUCAAUAUCGAAACGUCUUAUCGAAAUGGUCAAACAUCCAAAAAUCUCUUGAAAAAUAUACCAGAAAAA
Long non-coding RNA from Sitodiplosis mosellana (orange wheat blossom midge), 913 nucleotides. RefSeq lists it as uncharacterized. Lineage: Eukaryota; Metazoa; Arthropoda; Insecta; Diptera; Cecidomyiidae. The record is from RefSeq and is a predicted model, not a curated record. The transcript is spliced from 2 exons.